AGGGCAGCUACCCAGCGAUGGGAUGCGAAUCUCGAAAGCCUGUCUCAGUUCGGAUUGGAGGCUGAAACCCGCCUCCAUGAAGUUGGAUUCGCUAGUAAUCGCGCAUCAGCCAUGGCGCGGUGAAUACGUUCCCGGGCCUUGUACACACCGCCCGUCAAGCCAUGGAAGCUGGGGGUGCCUGAAGUUCGUGACCGGAAGGAGCGACCUAGGGCAAAACCGGUGACUGGGGCUAAGUCGUAACAAGGUAAC
This 249-nucleotide ribosomal RNA is filed under the name uncultured bacterium. RNAcentral describes it as "partial 16S ribosomal RNA". It matches the Rfam family "Bacterial small subunit ribosomal RNA", at positions 1243 to 1500 of the family's 1533-position model. The record is from RNAcentral.